AGUGAACGUUGGCGGCGUGGAUUAGGCAUGCAAGUCGAGCGAGAACCGUAGCAAUACGGGGACAGCGGCGAAAGGACAGUAAUGUGUAGGUACCUACCUCCGGGUUCGGGAUAGCUGCGGGAAACUGCAGGUAAUACCGAAUAACGUCUCCGGACCAAAGGUGUGAUUCCACCUGGAGAGGGGCCUGCAUCCUAUUAGCUUGUUGGCGGGGUAACGGCCCACCAAGGCGACGAUGGGUAGCGGGUGUGAGAGCACGACCCGCGUCAUUGGGACUGAGACACUGCCCAGACACCUACGGGUGGCUGCAGUCGUGAAUCUUCGGCAAUGGGCGCAAGCCUGACCGAGCGACGCCGCGUGCGGGAUGAAGGCCUUCGGGCUGUAAACCGCUGUCGUAGAGGAGGAAAUGCAGGGGGGUUCUCCCCUCUGUUUGACCUAUUCUAGGAGGAAGUACGGGCUAAGUUCGUGCCAGCCGCCGCUAAUA
This 481-nucleotide ribosomal RNA is filed under the name uncultured bacterium. RNAcentral describes it as "partial 16S ribosomal RNA". It matches the Rfam family "Bacterial small subunit ribosomal RNA", at positions 28 to 525 of the family's 1533-position model. The record is from RNAcentral.